Molecule: ribosomal RNA, 298 nt
Filed under: uncultured bacterium
Lineage: Bacteria
Description: partial 16S ribosomal RNA
Rfam family: Bacterial small subunit ribosomal RNA
Source: RNAcentral
UUUCCCCUACGGGGGGCAGCAGUGAGGAAUAUUGGUCAAUGGGCGCAGGCCUGAACCAGCCAAGUCGCGUGAGGGAAGACUGCCCUAUGGGUUGUAAACCUCUUUUAUAAGGGAAGAAUAAUGACUACGUGUAGUCAGAUGCCCGUACCUUAUGAAUAAGCAUCGGCUAACUCCGUGCCAGCAGCCGCGGUAAUACGUAUGGUGCAAGCGUUAUCCGGAUUUACUGGGUGUAAAGGGAGCGCAGGCGGCGCGUUAAGCCUGGUGUGAAAGCCCGCGGCCCAACCGCGGGACUGCAUUG